GCUGUGUCGGGUUUCUGCCUUUCUGGCAGACACCUGAUUUUCUGCUGUGUGCAUGUGCACGUGAGUGUGUGGUUUGUGCGAGUGACUGAGAGGAGUGUGGUUGUGUAAUGUGGUGGUUCCAUGCGUUUCCUGGUUCUGUGUGUGGCUCUGUGGUUCUUUAUGUGGUUUUAUUGUUCUGUGUGUGGCUUCGUAGUUCUGUGUCUAGCUUCAUGGGUCUGUAUGUUGCUGCACAGCUGUGUGUGUGUGUGUGUGUGUGUGUGUGUGCACACCACCCAAUUUAGGCCGCACAGGGACCCCAGAGGAAGAGCAUUACGUGGAUCCAGUUCACAGAUGGGGAAACUGAGAAGCCGUCCGAGAUGCUCCUGGAGACCAGUGGUUCCUGUCGCCUUGCUUUGUGUUUCGUCCUUGCGUCCUCGCUGUCUCCAGAGGCUGAAUGUCUGAGAGCCGCUGGGGCCGGAGUGGGGCCGGAACGUGGGUCUCCUCCCUCGUCCCCACCUUGGCGUCACGGCUCCCCGUGGGCAGGGCCGCAGGAGUCCAGGAGGACAGCCCCACCGGGGGUAGCCACGCGGAGGAACGGGAGGCAGUGCCGACCUCCUCUUUCCUCCCAGGGCUGCGGGCACCCCCUGCACACCCACCGCCCUUGGGGGGCCUCAGACUCCAGAGGGGCCAGGCCGGCCCCAGAGGGCACAUGCGUGCUCAGCGUGGUGUCCGGCCCUGCAGCCACCAGGGCUCUGCAGGGCGAGCUGCUCCCAGCUGCUCCCUGCUGUCUCUCCAGGACGUCACCCCUUGCUCCUGGGUCCCAAGCCUUCUGCCCCUGCACCGCUACCCAGAAGCCACACUCGGGAGCCAGAGCCACAGAGGACCUUCCUGGGUGCCAGGCACACAGCCCUCAGACCCCCGCUGGCCCGUGGGCUGCAGGUCCCCUGAUCUUCUUGGGUCCACUGCCCUCCCCCGGACCCUGUGGUGCUGCUUGCUGACUAGCCACUGGGAGCGCCCUGCCCCUUAGACAGCUGGCCUCAGGACUGAGAUGGGGCCUCAGGCAGCCAGCCCUGUCUCACCUUUGCCCCUGGAUGCUGGCUGUAGGCCCAAGACCCACACCUCCCAGGUGGGCCUUCUCUCUCCCCCAGGCCUCUGCGUGGCCCUGUCCUGUCUCCCUCUCUCCCUAUGGACCUGGGGCACGGCCUGGAGGCCAGUCUGGGGAGGCCUGGGGAGGAGGACGUGGGCAAGCAGAACAUGCAAGGUUUGUGUAUGGGAAGCCACCGGGUCCCUGGGUGGCCUGGGGCAGCAGCAGCCAGUGGCCAUCAGGGACUUGGGGACACAGGCUUUGUGAACCAGAGCCAGAGUGUGGCCUUAGCCUGAAGGUGGGGAGCCAUUAAGUGGUUAAAGCUGUUUUUCUGGUCAUAAAUGUGCACACUCUUGUCAACUUCAAAAAAGCAGAAAGAAGAGAAGUCCCGUGUGGGUGUCUGGUGGGGCCGCUGCCUCCCUCAGUAUUCUCCCAUCGCCCGUGAAUUCCCGGAAUUCCUUCUCAAUCUCCUUUCUGGCUGGGUGCGGUCCAGAGCCCAGCACUUCUCUGAGUCCUGCCCCGUGGUCUCCAGCCUCAGGUCCUAGCCAGCCCUCUUAGCGGGCCCGUGGCCUUCUGAGAGCCCACUGCCUGUGGCCAGCCAGCCAGGGUCCUGGGUGGGGGCUGCCCCUGCCCCCGAGACACGGCUCCUCCCAGCAGCAGCC
Equus caballus (horse) is the source of this 1725-nucleotide long non-coding RNA. NCBI's taxonomy places the organism in Eukaryota, Metazoa, Chordata, Mammalia, Perissodactyla, Equidae. The record is from Ensembl.